UACAGAGGGUGCGAGCGUUGUUCGGAAUCACUGGGCGUAAAGCGCAUGUAGGUGGUACGUUAAGUUGAAUGUGAAAUCCCUUGGCUCAACCGAGGACGUGCAUUCAAAACUGGCGAACUAGAGUGUCGGAGGGGGUGGCGGAAUUCCUAGUGUAGAGGUGAAAUUCGUAGAUAUUAGGAGGAACACCCGUGGCGAAGGCGGCCACCUGGACGACAACUGACACUGAGAUGCGAAAGCGUGGGUAGCAAACGGG
RNAcentral lists this ribosomal RNA (253 nucleotides) under uncultured bacterium. RNAcentral describes it as "partial 16S ribosomal RNA". It matches the Rfam family "Bacterial small subunit ribosomal RNA", at positions 524 to 776 of the family's 1533-position model. The record is from RNAcentral.